AAUUUCUAACAGACUCUUUCCCCAAGAAUGGAAGCAUGCGAAAAUAAAAGCACCAAUGUGUCCUCGGCUCUUCGCAUAUAUGAAGACACACUAACAGCCGGUUAAGCCUCGACUCAUCAUCGAAAAAAGAAGCGCUCCUACUUUUAAUUUAGAGAAAGCUAUAGCCAGUUGGUGUUGAUUAGGCCAGAAUGAGAAUUCCACCACCAUUACAGAAGAAGCCUUGAACAGGAUUAGAAUGAUAACAUGGCAACCCCACUAUGUUAUGGCUGUGUUUGACUACGAUAGCCUUUACCCUUCUUUAAGGUUAGAACCAGUAUGCCUGGCCCUGUAUAGAUUUAUGAUGGAGAACCUAACGUUUGUCGAAGGGAGAGCAAGGCUUUUAAGGGACAUUGCCUACAUGCUUUGUCAUAAUUCUUAUUUUACUUUCCGAGAAGUUUACUACCAAC
This 446-nucleotide long non-coding RNA is filed under the name Androctonus crassicauda. The record is from RNAcentral. Lineage: Eukaryota; Metazoa; Arthropoda; Arachnida; Scorpiones; Buthidae.